Long non-coding RNA from Medicago truncatula (barrel medic), 1770 nucleotides. RefSeq lists it as uncharacterized. Lineage: Eukaryota; Viridiplantae; Streptophyta; Magnoliopsida; Fabales; Fabaceae. The transcript is spliced from 5 exons. The record is from RefSeq and is a predicted model, not a curated record.
AUACAAAUAAAAAAAGAAAAUCAAUCCCAUAAUCUAGAAGAAAGUGAUUACAAUUUCAUGCUUUCAAAACACAAGAAAAAACUUUUUUAUGGGAGGAAGAAACACAUGAAAAUAAUGAAAAAUAAAUUGUCUAUAUAUAGAAAAAAUAAUCAUGGCAUAAUCAAUUUUGAUUUAAUGGUGAAAACUAAAUGAGUCAUGAUUCAUUUUUUUGUCUAAGAAAAAAUAAAUGAGUCAUGAUUUAAUUAUAUUGAUUGAUAAGAAAGCAUUAAAUGAAAUGAGAAAUGUGAUAAUAUCAUGUGUACUUUUUAUUUGACGCAAACCAAAUAUUUAUAAUAGAGAUAGAGAUUUAAAAUAAAAUAGAGGGAGUGGGUGGAGAACACAUCAAAAUUGAGGGGGAGAAAGGAAAACAAAAGGAAAGAAAAGAAAAGAAGGUAAACGGAACAAAGGAAGAUCCGAGCAAACAAGGAUAAAAGAUGGAGAGCAAUACUUUGUGUUCAUACGGAGAAUCCGAUCCACCUCAGUGAAUAAUGGAGACUAUAACAAGUUGUAGAUUUUUACUUCUAAGGUGAAAAGUAUAAGCACAAAUAGUUCUAUGUAGCUUAUUCGAUGAUGUUUUGUGUUGCCAUUGAAAUUUUCUUUUCUAUCUAUAUAUUACCAUGUCCUAUUGUUAUCCUUUUCAUUAUCUACUCACUUUUAUGCUCAGAACCGCUGACUCGUGCAGAACUGAACACCUCUUCUAGAGCAUAGUCCAUUUUCCUUUUUGCGAAGCUCUUUUGUGCUUGUGCUUGGAGGAGCAUGUUUUGUCGUCAUAAUUACCUUAAAUAUGUCUUUUGAGUUGUAAUCUUUAAAAAUUAAAUAAAAACCUUUAGUGGCUCUUUUGCAUAGUUGGAUUGGUUGUUUUUAGGCUAAUUUGAUGCUAUGAAUUAUGUUGAGCCUUGACAUGUAUGAAGCAGUCUUAUGUUGAAUAUAUAUAUACAUGUUUAUGUUAUUUUGGAAACUCAUUAUUUUAGGGUAAACUCUGUCGAGUUUUUGGUAAAAAGUUCGUAAAAUGUAUGCUUCAUCAAUUUUAGUAUUUUGGUUACUAUUAAUGUCAAAUUAUGCAUACUUAAGGCUUGCCAGACUAUAUUUACAGUUUGAGCGCCGGUCAUGUCCUGUUUGGGUCGUGACAGAUAUGUAAGUUGUGCUUCAGCCUGAGCUGUAUUUUCUAACUGUAUUUUUCUUUUUGUUUUUUAAACUAAUAUUUUCCUUAUAAAAUGUAAUCUCAGUCUUCUGAUGCCUCCCCCAGUUACCCUACUUCCGUUGAAUUUCAACAACCUUCGUUGUGCUUUCUUAAUUCUCUACUCAGUUCAGCGACAACUGCACUUGAAAGGGCAGCUGAAGAGAAAUCCUUAUUACUGAACAAGCGAGAGUUUGUAUGAAGACGAGGAGUUUGAUCAUUACCAAAGGCAACUCGCUGCACUACUUGUAUAUAAGGUUGUUUUGCCAGAGGGUUCAAAAGAUAUUUUACCAUCUGUUCCAUUUCCUAUGAAAGAAAGACAUGAGUUUAUAAUGGCAUCCCUCAACAUACUAGCUGGAUUUGUAAGGAUGAUUAAAGGGAAAGCACACAGGUUAGACCUAAAAAUUACCCCUUCCCAAGGAAAUGGGAGCAUAGACAGAAAUCCAGAUAGCACUGCACACGUGAUUGAGAAAAAUGCAAUGGGAUGGUGAUGAUAGGGGUGAAAAGAAAAGGAGUGUUCCUGAUUUUUAGAAGGUUGGGUGGAUCAAAGAGUC